Molecule: ribosomal RNA, 247 nt
Filed under: uncultured bacterium
Lineage: Bacteria
Description: partial 16S ribosomal RNA
Rfam family: Bacterial small subunit ribosomal RNA
Source: RNAcentral
AACGAACGCUGGCGGCAGGCCUAACACAUGCAAGUCGAGCGGGCGUAGCAAUACGUCAGCGGCGGACGGGUGAGUAACACGUGGGAAUAUGCCUUUCGGUUUGGAACAACUCGGGGAACCCGUGCUAAUUCCGGAUACGCCCUUAGGGGAAGGAUUUAUCGCCGAAAGAUUAGCCCGCGUCCGAUUAGCUAGUUGGUGAGGUAACGGCCCACCAAGGCGACGAUCGGUAGCUGGUUUGAGAGAACGA